This 1714-nucleotide ribosomal RNA is filed under the name Acinetobacter baumannii. Its description in RNAcentral is "partial 23S ribosomal RNA". It matches the Rfam family "Bacterial large subunit ribosomal RNA", at positions 344 to 2052 of the family's 2925-position model. Lineage: Bacteria; Pseudomonadati; Pseudomonadota; Gammaproteobacteria; Moraxellales; Moraxellaceae. The record is from RNAcentral.
GGGAAGUGCGAACGUAGAGGGUGAUAUUCCCGUACACGAAAGGGCACACAUAAUGAUGACGAGUAGGGCGAGGCACGUGAAACCUUGUCUGAAUAUGGGGGGACCAUCCUCCAAGGCUAAAUACUCCUGACUGACCGAUAGUGAACCAGUACCGUGAGGGAAAGGCGAAAAGAACCCCUGUGAGGGGAGUGAAAUAGAUCCUGAAACCGCAUGCAUACAAGCAGUGGGAGCACCUUCGUGGUGUGACUGCGUACCUUUUGUAUAAUGGGUCAGCGACUUAUAUUCAGUAGCGAGGUUAACCGUAUAGGGGAGCCGUAGAGAAAUCGAGUCUUAAUAGGGCGUUUAGUUGCUGGGUAUAGACCCGAAACCAGGCGAUCUAUCCAUGAGCAGGUUGAAGGUUGGGUAACACUAACUGGAGGACCGAACCCACUGUCGUUGAAAAGCCAGGGGAUGACUUGUGGAUAGGGGUGAAAGGCUAAUCAAGCCUGGUGAUAGCUGGUUCUCCCCGAAAGCUAUUUAGGUAGCGCCUCGGACGAAUACCAUAGGGGGUAGAGCACUGUUUCGGCUAGGGGGUCAUCCCGACUUACCAAACCGAUGCAAACUCCGAAUACCUAUGAGUACUAUCCGGGAGACAGACUGCGGGUGCUAACGUCCGUAGUCAAGAGGAAAACAAUCCAGACCGCCAGCUAAGGCCCCAAAAUCAUAGUUAAGUGGGAAACGAUGUGGGAAGGCAUAGACAGCUAGGAGGUUGGCUUAGAAGCAGCCACCCUUUAAAGAAAGCGUAAUAGCUCACUAGUCGAGUCGGCCUGCGCGGAAGAUGUAACGGGGCUAAAACUAUGUGCCGAAGCUGCGGAUGUAUACUUUGUAUACGUGGUAGGGGAGCGUUCUGUAAGCCGAUGAAGGUGUGUUGAGAAGCAUGCUGGAGGUAUCAGAAGUGCGAAUGCUGACGUGAGUAACGACAAAACGGGUGAAAAACCCGUUCGCCGAAAGACCAAGGGUUCCAGUCCAACGUUAAUCGGGGCUGGGUGAGUCGACCCCUAAGGCGAGGCCGAAAGGCGUAGUCGAUGGGAAAAUGGUUAAUAUUCCAUUACUUCUGUGUAAUGCGAUGAGAGGACGGAGAAGGCUAAAUCAGCCUGGCGUUGGUUGUCCAGGUGAAAGGAUGUAGGCAUGUAUCUUAGGCAAAUCCGGGGUACUCUAUGCUGAGAUCUGAUAGCAAGCUGUACUUGUACAGCGAAGUGGUUGAUGCCAUGCUUCCAGGAAAAGUCUCUAAGCUUCAGUUACACAGGAAUCGUACCCGAAACCGACACAGGUGGUCAGGUCGAGUAGACCAAGGCGCUUGAGAGAACUCUGCUGAAGGAACUAGGCAAAAUGGUACCGUAACUUCGGGAGAAGGUACGCUGUUGUUGGUGAUGGAACUCGCUUCCUGAGCUGACGACAGCCGCAGAAACCAGGCCGCUGCAACUGUUUAUUAAAAACAUAGCACUCUGCAAACACGAAAGUGGACGUAUAGGGUGUGAUGCCUGCCCGGUGCUGGAAGGUUAAUUGAUGGGGUUAGCGUAAGCGAAGCUCUUGAUCGAAGCCCCAGUAAACGGCGGCCGUAACUAUAACGGUCCUAAGGUAGCGAAAUUCCUUGUCGGGUAAGUUCCGACCUGCACGAAUGGCAUAAUGAUGGCGGCGCUGUCUCCAGCAGAGGCUCAGUGAAAUCGAAAUCGCU